GACGAACGCUGGCGGCGCGCCUAACACAUGCAAGUCGAACGAGAGAGAAGGAGCUUGCUUCUUCGAUCGAGUGGCGAACGGGUGAGUAACGCGUGAGGAACCUGCCUCAAAGAGGGGGACAACAGUUGGAAACGACUGCUAAUACCGCAUAAGCCCACGGGUCGGCAUCGACCAGAGGGAAAAGGAGCAAUCCGCUUUGAGAUGGCCUCGCGUCCGAUUAGCUAGUUGGUGAGGUAAUGGCCCACCAAGGCGACGAUCGGUAGCCGGACUGAGAGGUUGAACGGCCACAUUGGGACUGAGACACGGCCCAGACUCCUACGGGAGGCAGCAGUGGGGAAUAUUGCACAAUGGGGGAAACCCUGAUGCAGCGACGCCGCGUGGAGGAAGAAGGUCUUCGGAUUGUAAACUCCUGUUGUUGAGGAAGA
Molecule: ribosomal RNA, 425 nt
Filed under: uncultured bacterium
Lineage: Bacteria
Description: bacterial SSU rRNA
Rfam family: Bacterial small subunit ribosomal RNA
Source: RNAcentral